UGACAGAGCAGAGCUGCUAAUCUCAUG
This 27-nucleotide non-coding RNA is filed under the name Rattus norvegicus (Norway rat). The record is from RNAcentral. Lineage: Eukaryota; Metazoa; Chordata; Mammalia; Rodentia; Muridae.